RNAcentral lists this unclassified non-coding RNA (363 nucleotides) under uncultured soil eukaryote. RNAcentral's name for it is "sequence contains 5.8S rRNA gene, ITS2, 28S rRNA gene". The record is from RNAcentral.
AACGCACAUUGCGCUCCCUGGUAUUCCGGGGAGCAUGCCCGUUUGAGAAUCAGUAAAUCCUCUCCCCUGACCUUUGUGUCUGGUGGAAUUGGGGGCUUUGCUUGCAGCUCGUUAACCCGAGUGGACAGCAAUCUCCUUAAAGUCAGUGUUGGGACUCAGCGUCUUCAUUCUCGAUGAAGGCUCAAGCUGUGAGCGCAUGAAUGGAGCAUUGCUUCAAAAGUAAUACGCUUGCCUUAGUAUGCUUGGCCAUGCAUCCGAAUGGGACACAUCCCCCCUCUGAAACAACAAAUGGAUGUGAGCGUAAGCUUACAGUCAUUAUUUUAACUUGGUCUCAAAUCGGGUAGGAAAACCCGCUGAACUUAA